CUAUCACUUACAGAUGGACCCGCGGCGCAUUAGCUAGUUGGUGAGGUAACGGCUCACCAAGGCGACGAUGCGUAGCCGACUUGAGAGGGUGAUCGGCCACACUGGGACUGAGACACGGCCCAGACUCCUACGGGAGGCAGCAGUAGGGAAUCUUCCGCAAUGGACGAAAGUCUGACGGAGCAACGCCGCGUGAGUGAUGAAGGUUUUCGGAUCGUAAAACUCUGUUGUUAGGGAAGAACAAGUAUCGUUCGAAUAGGGCGGUACCUUGACGGUACCUAACCAGAAAGCCACGGCUAACUACGUGCCAGCAGCCGCGGUAAUACGUAGGUGGCAAGCGUUGUCCGGAAUUAUUGGGCGUAAAGCGCGCGCAGGCGGUUUCUUAAGUCUGAUGUGAAAUCUUGCGGCUCAACCGCAAGCGGCCAUUGGAAACUGGGAGACUUGAGUGCAGAAGAGGAGAGUGGAAUUCCACGUGUAGCGGUGAAAUGCGUAGAGAUGUGGAGGAACACCAGUGGCGAAGGCGACUCUCUGGUCUGUAACUGACGCUGAGGCGCGAAAGCGUGGGGAGCGAACAGGAUUACAUACGCUGGUAGUCCACGCCGUAAACGAUGAGUGCUAAGUGUUAGAAGGUUUCCGCCCUUUAUUGCUGCAGCUAACGCAUUAAGCACUCCGCCUGGUGAGUACGGCCGCAAGGCUGAAACUCAAAAGAAUUGACGGGGGCCC
This 720-nucleotide ribosomal RNA is filed under the name Heyndrickxia oleronia. RNAcentral describes it as "bacterial SSU rRNA". It matches the Rfam family "Bacterial small subunit ribosomal RNA", at positions 212 to 922 of the family's 1533-position model. Lineage: Bacteria; Bacillati; Bacillota; Bacilli; Caryophanales; Bacillaceae. The record is from RNAcentral.